RNAcentral lists this ribosomal RNA (439 nucleotides) under uncultured bacterium. RNAcentral describes it as "partial 16S ribosomal RNA". It matches the Rfam family "Bacterial small subunit ribosomal RNA", at positions 339 to 795 of the family's 1533-position model. The record is from RNAcentral.
CUACGGGAGGCACCAGUGGGGAAUAUUGGACAAUGGGCGAAAGCCUGAUCCAGCCAUGCCGCGUGAGUGAUGAAGGCCCUAGGGUUGUAAAGCUCUUUCAGGUGGGAUGAUGAUGACCGUACCACCAAAAGAAGCCCCGGCUAACUUCGUGCCAGCAGCCGCGGUAAUACGAAGGGGGCUAGCGUUGUUCGGAAUUACUGGGCGUAAAGAGGGUGUAGGUGGAUUAUUAAGUCAGAAGUGAAAGCCCAAGGCUCAACCUUGGAACUGCUUUUGAUACUGAUGAUCUAGAGUCCGGGAGAGGAUUGUGGAAUUCCGAGUGUAGAGGUGAAAUUCGUAGAUAUUCGGAGGAACACCAGAGGCGAAGGCGGCAAUCUGGAACGUGACUGACACUGAGACCCGAAAGCGUGGGGAGCAAACAGGAUUAGAUACCCUGGUAGUC